CAGUAGCCGCGGGAAUACGGAGGGUGCAAGCGUUAAUCGGAAUUACUGGGCGUAAAGCGCACGCAGGCGGUCUGUCAAGUCAGAUGUGAAAUCCCCGGGCUUAACCUGGGAACUGCAUUUGAAACUGGCAGGCUAGAGUCUUGUAGAGGGGGGUAGAAUUCCAGGUGUAGCGGUGAAAUGCGUAGAGAUCUGGAGGAAUACCGGUGGCGAAGGCGGCCCCCUGGACAAAGACUGACGCUCAGGUGCGAAAGCGUGGGGAGCAAACAGGAUUAGAUACCCCGGUAGUCCCUGUCUCUUAUAU
RNAcentral lists this ribosomal RNA (301 nucleotides) under uncultured bacterium. RNAcentral describes it as "partial 16S ribosomal RNA". It matches the Rfam family "Bacterial small subunit ribosomal RNA", at positions 509 to 809 of the family's 1533-position model. The record is from RNAcentral.